Molecule: long non-coding RNA, 288 nt
Organism: Prunus persica (peach)
Lineage: Eukaryota; Viridiplantae; Streptophyta; Magnoliopsida; Rosales; Rosaceae
Exons: 3
Source: RefSeq, a predicted model, not a curated record
GUUUUAUGUUUCAGCUAAAGCAUCACAGAAAACUCUAUGAAGCUUAUGUCCCUAUGAAGUACAGACACUACCUGAAGAAGAUGAAGAAAGCCGGGGAGUGGGGAGAUCAUCUUACCCUUCAGGCAGCUGCAGAUCGAUUUGGAGCCAAAAUUUGUGUAAUCACCUCUUUUCGAGACGCUUGCUAUAUUGAGAUCCUUCCUAAAGACAGGAAUCCUACCCGAGGUUUAUCUCAUUUGCUUACUUUAUCUUAUCUAAAUUUAAUUAUAGUUUGCUUUUUGAAACUUGAAA